UACGGAGGGGGCUAGCGUUGUUCGGAAUUACUGGGCGUAAAGCGUACGUAGGCGGCUUUGUAAGUUAGAGGUGAAAGCCCGGGGCUCAACUCCGGAAUUGCCUUUAAGACUGCAUCGCUAGAAUCAUGGAGAGGUGAGUGGAAUUCCGAGUGUAGAGGUGAAAUUCGUAGAUAUUCGGAAGAACACCAGUGGCGAAGGCGACUCACUGGCCCGAUACUGACGCUGAGGCACGAAAGCGUGGGGAGCAAACAGG
This 253-nucleotide ribosomal RNA is filed under the name uncultured bacterium. Its description in RNAcentral is "partial 16S ribosomal RNA". It matches the Rfam family "Bacterial small subunit ribosomal RNA", at positions 524 to 776 of the family's 1533-position model. The record is from RNAcentral.